CGUGCUGUACCGCCUAAUCCACGGCACGCCACCAGCGCGCCGGGAACCGGGGAACCACCACUUGGGGUGCAUCGGACGGCCCACCGUCCGUAGGAGACCUUCCUGCUCCGAACCCGUCAGCUAACCCGGUCGGCGAAGGAAGGAAAGGAGAA
Molecule: small RNA, 152 nt
Filed under: Streptomyces xiamenensis
Lineage: Bacteria; Bacillati; Actinomycetota; Actinomycetes; Kitasatosporales; Streptomycetaceae
Description: c-di-AMP sequence
Rfam family: c-di-AMP riboswitch aptamer (ydaO/yuaA leader)
About the family: This family represents a conserved RNA structure found upstream of the ydaO and yuaA genes in Bacillus subtilis and related genes in other bacteria. The ydaO/yuaA element is thought to act as a genetic "off" switch for the ydaO and yuaA genes in its native state.
Source: RNAcentral